Molecule: ribosomal RNA, 549 nt
Filed under: Triticum aestivum (bread wheat)
Lineage: Eukaryota; Viridiplantae; Streptophyta; Magnoliopsida; Poales; Poaceae
Description: partial small subunit ribosomal RNA
Source: RNAcentral
AUGGAUUUUAUUACUGGAUUACCUCCUUCCUAUCUGUUUGAUUGCAUAUUUGUGGUCAUUGACAAGUUUACAAAAUAUGGGCAUUUCAUGGCCCUCAAACACCCCUUUUCUGCACAAAAGGUUGCUGAAGUGUUCUUGGACAAUAUCUACAAACUGCAUGGCAUGCUAGAGUACAUUGUAUCUGACAGAGAUCCGGUGUUCACAAGCAAAUUUUGGCAAACUCUUGUUCACAGGACUGGUACUCGGCUUAACAUGAGUACUGCAUAUCACCCUGCUAUUGAUGGUCAGACUGAGAGAGUCAACCAGCAAAUUGAAUGCUACCUCAAAAGUUUUAUUAGUUCUCACCCCUCCAAAUGGAGCAAAUGGCUGUCCCUGUGUGAGUUUUGGUAUAAUACAAAUUGGCAUUCAGCUGUGGGCAAGUUUCCCUUUGAGGUACUUUAUGGGCACUCUCCUAGAUACUUUGGGAUUGCUGCCAGUGAUACUGUUGCCCCUGUGGAUAUUAUUCAGUGGCUACAAGACAGGGAGGUUAUGGUAGCUUCUGUUAAAUAA